RNAcentral lists this long non-coding RNA (297 nucleotides) under Gossypium raimondii (Peruvian cotton). RNAcentral's name for it is "long non-coding RNA (GRAI_LNC001185)". The record is from RNAcentral. Lineage: Eukaryota; Viridiplantae; Streptophyta; Magnoliopsida; Malvales; Malvaceae.
GCCGAACCCCUUACAUGAUGUUUGAAUGGCUUUUUAUAGCUAUUGUUUACAAGCUUUUUUUUCUUCUUUUUUACUCCAUUUUUACUUUUUUAUGUUGCGUGUUUGCAGGUGGAGCAGGUGAGGACGACGCGACGUGGCGGCUGCUGGUGAUGCGACAGGCGUGCGGCGCGGGUCAGAGGCAGAUGAGGGUGCGGCCCUAGGGCAGUGGCAGAGACUAGGGUUCUGAAACCCUAGUUUCCAUUGGAUUUGGGGCAUGUUAUGUGGUUUGGGCCUAUUGGGCUCAGGUUUGGGUUUAAU